UACGUAGGGGGCAAGCGUUGUCCGGAAUCAUUGGGCGUAAAGGGCGCGUAGGCGGCCAUUCAAGUGACGGGUGAAAGCCCUCGGCUUAACCGAGGAACUGCCUGUCAGACUGGAUGGCUUGAGACCGGGAGAGGUGAGUGGAAUUCCCAGUGUAGCGGUGAAAUGCGUAGAUAUUGGGAGGAACACCAGUGGCGAAGGCGGCUCACUGGACCGGAACUGACGCUAAGGCGCGAAAGCGUGGGGAGCGAACAGG
RNAcentral lists this ribosomal RNA (253 nucleotides) under uncultured bacterium. RNAcentral's name for it is "partial 16S ribosomal RNA". It matches the Rfam family "Bacterial small subunit ribosomal RNA", at positions 524 to 776 of the family's 1533-position model. The record is from RNAcentral.